GACGAACGCUGGCGGCGUGCUUAACACAUGCAAGUCGAACGGAAAGGCCCUGCUUUUGUGGGGUGCUCGAGUGGCGAACGGGUGAGUAACACGUGAGUAACCUGCCCUUGAUUUUGGGAUAACUUCAGGAAACUGGGGCUAAUACCGGAUAUGAGCUCCUGCUGCAUGGUGGGGGUUGGAAAGUUUCGGCGGUUGGGGAUGGACUCGCGGCUUAUCAGCUUGUUGGUGGGGUAGUGGCUUACCAAGGCUUUGACGGGUAGCCGGCCUGAGAGGGUGACCGGCCACAUUGGGAAGGAGAUACGGCCCAGACUCCUACGGGAGGCAGCAGUGGGGAAUAUUGCACAAUGGGCGGAAGCCUGAUGCAGCAACGCCGCGUGCGGGAUGACGGCCUUCGGGUUGUAAACCGCUUUCGCCUGUGACGAAGCGUGAGUGACGGUAAUGGGUAAAGAAGCACCGGCUAACUACGUG
RNAcentral lists this ribosomal RNA (468 nucleotides) under uncultured bacterium. Its description in RNAcentral is "partial 16S ribosomal RNA". It matches the Rfam family "Bacterial small subunit ribosomal RNA", at positions 28 to 507 of the family's 1533-position model. The record is from RNAcentral.